Chrysemys picta bellii (western painted turtle) is the source of this 5605-nucleotide non-coding RNA. NCBI's taxonomy places the organism in Eukaryota, Metazoa, Chordata, Testudines, Emydidae. The record is from RefSeq and is a predicted model, not a curated record.
GCUAUUAUCAAAGUCUUUACCUCACACUACUAGUACUGAACAUGUCUUGAAACAAUAGGUUCUGUGUUCUGCAUGCAUGAUAAAUUUUAUCCUUGCCUCUGCAUUUUUUUUGCUUGUGUGUUCCUAAGACACACCAUGAUCAACAGAGAUUUUUGGUUUAAUAUGUUUACAAGGCACAUGGUUCACUGUACUCUUUAAGUUCAUCAGUUUACUGCCAAAUAAACUUUAUUUUAAUAUGCAGAUUAUUUUAUUUACUGUCUAGCUUCUUGAAUUAAGCACAUGGCCUGCAACCUUUUAAAGUGGUAAAUGUGCACUACCAUUCCCUGCUUUACCAUUUCUAUCAUUUCUCUCUUGUGAUCAAUGGAAUAGCCUUUUCUAAAGAGCUUUGGUAACAUAGCUUAUGUAGUAUGUGCAAUCCUGUAAGUCACCAAGCAUAAAAUGGUAGUGUCUGAGAUGCUCAGGUUCCUUUCCCUUUGAAGUCAAUGAGAGCCCAUGUUUGAGGUCAAUAUUUGACCCUUACAAUUUACAUUAAAACAAAUUGAGAAAAACAAUGUAAACUGUAUUUUUGCUAUAUGGGUGAGUCUUUCUUAAAGAAUGCAAGAAGAAUAACUCCUUACCUCAUCAUGGCUAGCCAGUUUUUCAGUAACUGACCAGGCUUAUCCUGCUAUUCCCACCCUCUGCAACCUGGGAACCACUUUUCUUUCUUAGCAUGCAUGAAUCACUUACCUGUCUCCCAUCGCAUCUUAUCUAAUGCCAAGUAGCAGCAGGAGGAGGCAGCUCACAACAGUGGUAAUAGAUAGGCAGAACCCAAAGUGAAUCCCUGCUAAUGAAGCUGGCCAACUCAGAGGUGAGGAAGAUGCAAUAGAACAGGUUCUUCACCAGCCUGGGUAAGUGUGUGCCUCCUUUGGAAUGUUGUAGAGUCCACUGAAGAUACUGCAGUGGGGAGGUUUGUAGACGUUGAUCAGAAUCAGAUCCUUCACUUUUAUAGGCUGAAAUUCAGUAACAUCAUUUGGACCUUGUCAAGGGGGUUCACUCAUCACAGAUUGCACCUCCUUCUGGCUGUACUGGGAAUUAGUUCUGCCAGGUGCUGUGCCCUCCUCUGACGGUGUCUCUCCCAUCAUCCUCUCAUCCUUCAGCCCCUCUUGCACCAGUAACUGCAGCCUCUUCUUCGUGAUUCAGCCCUCUGGGCAGGUCACUCCAUGGUUCCCCCUUCUGGGGAAGGGUGUGUGUAACAGUCUUUCCCAGAACAAAUCAUCCCAGGCACUCCAAUGUCCUCUGCCUGGUAGAUGCCAUGUCCCCAGUGGCUGGUAGGGGAACUCUGACCCGCCCUGUACUCUGGGUUCCAGCUCCGGGACCCUCCUGUUAACAGCCAAGGCCUGCACUCCUUUUUGCUGCUAUUCCCCUGAGCCUCCUCCUACCUUCCUGAUUUCCCCCCCCCCCCUUUUGGAUUUGCCAGCCUCCCAACUCCCUCCUCCCAUGGAGCAACACUCUAUAGUUCUAACAUUCCUUUCUCUUCCCAGGGAGCAACUGCAGCCUACAGCCCUUCUGUUGCCAGCUUCCUGGCUUCCAUAGUCCCCACCUGUCCCUGCCCAGUUGAGCCUUGUGUCUAAUGAAUCAUUCCUUGCUCCUUCGCUCCUCCUGCAGGUGCAACUGGGCAAUUAAUUGGGCCUAAUUUACCCUCUCAGGGCCAGUGGGGGGAGUACACCCCAUCACAGACCUAAUGAUUAGACUAGAGUUGCUGGAAUACCCUCUCUGCCUUAGGAUGACAGCCUGUAUUGCCUGUGAUGGAGGUGAGACACAACAACACAGCUUGGAGUUGAUAGUUAAGCAUCAGUGAUAGAAUGUGUGUCCUGAAGUAAAAUGAUGUAUUCUUCAUGUUCUACAGUGAACUGGAGGAGGAUGUCCCUCUUGGCUGCUGAGAUUCCCUCAAUAUUGAAGUGCACCAUCUUGAGAGCUGACCUCAACACAAGAUUGUCAAGACGUUGGGGCUUAUGGAGGACGACAACAAGUUGCUCAAGAAAAGGAAAAUAAACUUCUGGCUGUAGCCUAAGUAAAUGGGUUCUGCUCGUGGGAACUAUGCAAGAGUUUGGGGGAUGAAAUCCUUCAACUUGGGGACAGGCUGAGAAACUGCAGUGCAACCCCUCUGCUACCAUUACUGCAGCUUCAUCACAGCAGUGGUGUCUGAGGCCCUUUGAUAAGCCCUGUGUUUGGCUUCAAGUCAGUAGAUCUGCAUGUUAUGGAGCCACUGUAUAAAACUAUCUUCUAAAUAGCUUAGGCUUGCUGUGGAUCGGACUGUUGAGCUGUACUCACGCAGAAGAUAUGUUGUCCUCCUGCAGAGCUUCUCUGUGUUUUUCCCUUCUAUUGUAGUAGAACUGAAUUGGUUCUGUUGAGAGUGGGGCAUCUGUCACUCCUUACAUCGUGUCCUGGAGGAUUUGCCCUUUCAAUCACAUGGUCCAAAGUCAACUGAAGUCACCAGAAAGAUUCACAUUGAGUUCAGUGGUUUUUGGAUCAGGCCCUGAUAAACAAUAAAGUAGGAAAGAAAGAAAAAGAAAUCCCUUCUGGAAAGCAGCUUGAUACAGGAUUUAAUUUUCAAUAUGAAUUAAAUGGUGGCAAGGACAAGUGAAAACAUGCAAAAAGUUGCUUCAUUGAAAAAAUGAUCAGGUGUUUAGCACCUUGACUAUCAAAGACUUUUUGUGAUCAGAAGCAAAUAGAAGGGUGAAUUCUCUUGAGAGUGAAUUGAAGAAAUUGUGAGAAAACUAAAAGCAACAAAGCUAUUGAAGCAGCAUGUGCUGCUGUAUACGGUGUAUAUUUCUGGCACUAUAGCAAUAAAAUAAUAACCAAGGAGGAGCUGUCUCCCAUUUGCAAGAAAUAUAUAGGCAAUGUUCUAAAGAGACUUCUGUGUGCAAUAAAAGCUAAUGCCUGAUGGCACACAAUAUAUUGAAUAGAAAGACUGAAACUAAAUCCCAGUAUCUUUAUUUUAUUUUCCAGCAUGCCCCUGUAUAUGUCUGUGGAUUUACUAAAGUCGGGUGUCUUAUUUCAUGAAUUCUUUGCAAGCCUAAUGAAAUUAGUAAGUAAAUGAAGCUCAUGUGUUUUAAUUCCUAACUCAUAGUACAAAUAAAUAUUAUGAUAACAAGGUGCGUGUGUUGUGGGCAGUGCAUAGUACAGACUGGGGCCUCUAGGCUCUGCUACAGUACAAAUAAUAAUAGCAUAGCAGUAAGAAGGCACCCCAGCAAAAUUUCAUUUUCAGCCCGCUUCAUAUAGAGACCCAGUUUUGUGCCCCCCGAGAGUGUGAUCUAAUGCUGAGAGCACAGCAGUUUUGGCUAGGAGACCUGGGCAUCAAUCCACUAGUAGGGGCUGCUCUGUGCACCUCCACAGCUAAGUGAUCCGUGGCUGCAGCUGAGGAUCUGAGCAUGAACACAUCUGUUACUGGCUUUAUCUUGGGGUCAGUAAUCAGUGUUUUACUUCCCAUGAGUAUUGAAUGUCAAGCUUUUUAAGAUCCUAGGAUGAAAAGACCUAUGGGUGAUUAGGUUCAGUUGUCAAUAAGUCGGGGGAUGCAGGUGUGCCACCCCAGGAGCAAGGAGUUGUGGCUUGGUGAGUCACAAUUUCUUUUCUGCUUGUCUCCUGCUCCAAGGGGGAAGAAAUUUACUGCAGCCACAAAUGGUACAUCUUACUUCCCUUUCUUGCUUCCAGCCAGCUCUGUUGGAUGGUGCAUUGGAGAGGGAAUGGAUGUAAUCCCUCACUGCUCCACAGACCUUUUCUUUACCCAUUUGCUCAUGGUGAGGCAGCAGUAGCUGUUCUGAGGCUGUGCUCCCAACAGAACUUGUACCUGUAACAUGAGCAAUCAUAAUUGGGGAUGGCCAGAAAACAAGAACUCCAUUUGUUUUCUUUAUGCAUCAGAACAAGAGCAAGACCUUUUGAAAUUCAUUUUGUGAAAAAUGUGAGAGACCAGCCCAUCUGCCCCGGAAUAGCCAAUAUCAUGAUGGUCGGGGCAGGAGCGCUGCCAGCUUUUCUGCUGCCCUAGGCGGCGGAUGGUCCCACCCCAAAAAGCACCCCCCACAGAGGCAGCGGAAGGUCCCGCCGCCGAAAUACUGCGGUGGUUGCCACCCCCCAAAUUGUAGCGCCCUAGGUGACCAUCUAGGUCGCCUAAUGGGUUGCGCCGGCCCUGGGUUGGGGCACUCACUCAACUGCCGGAUUUGGAGAAGGGACUUGAACCUGGAUAUCUCACAUCCCAGAUGAAUGCCCUAACCACUUGAUUAUUCUUGAAUUGGGGAUCAAUUUUGACCAGAAAUUCCAUCCUGGACAUGAGAAACAUGAUUAAGCUUUCAUUGAAGCUGACCCGUCUCCUCAGAACAUUAUGAUUUUGAUGAAACAGCAUUUUUAACAGAAAUAGAUUGGGGGGGGGGGGCUUUAAUCUCCUACAUGGUCACGUUAAGUUUGUUCCAGACCUGUCCCUUUAGUAUUCUUCAGAGCCAGACAAGACAAAGAAUGUUGAAUAAUUAGUCUGAAAAAAUCACAACAUUCAUCAAAUAAAGUAAUUGUUAAUAGUACUUGUGCUGGUUGAAUAAUAUUUGACAAGAGACUCUACCUCUUUCCUCCUAGUUUGUUAAUGAACUGGUAAUACAUCAACCAAAGCCAUUUUUCCCUUACUGGGAAAGCUAUCAUAGGCUCAAGGACAAAUAUAAUGGGCUGGCUAGUAGGUUUUGGAGCCAGCUAUUUAGUUUUUUUGUUUAUAAACUAGCUUACAAGCUGAGAACCACCAGGCCAAAAUAUAGGAGACUUGUAUUUUAUUUGAAGGAGAAACUCUUUAAAAUAUCCAUGUCUUCCUUAAAAAUUCUUGUCUAGUCUGGGCUGUAUUUCUUACAGAGCCUAUUGACAUGGUUAUAUUGGGACUGACAAACAUACUAAAAGUUAACUUUUAAAGUGGUAUUUUGCCAUAAAAAAUAAAUGGACGUUUUAGUUAGAUUCUGCACUAUAUUUAUUUAUUCUUACUUGUCUCCUCCAAAGAAAGAACAAGAGAAGAACUAUUGUCACUCCUGGGUUUUCUCUUUUUCUGAUAAAUAUUUGCAGUAUUUUUUUUUCUUCCUCAUCUUUAUUCUCUGAAUAAUAGAAAAGGUCUGGUCUUCACAUCCCAGAGUCCCUUUUCCAGCUGGUUUGCUUCUUUCAGGGUUGAGGGUUUUUUGGUUGUUGUUUCAGAUUGAUUUACAAGUACUAGAGUGUUAAGACUGGAAUUCAAAACUGGUCCCAACAUUUAUGACAAACACAAAUCUCUGUACAUCUUUUCUCCAGUAUUUUCCCCAGUCUCUCAAUGCUAGAUAGCUAGAACAUGCCACUACUCUAUUUUAUUUAUAAUACGGUUACACAUUUGAGGAGGCUCCAACCUCUUGAGCAAGCUGAAAAACUGUAAUAAAAAGUGUUUUCUCAAUAGCCAAGGAGUUUCUAAGAUAUAAAUAUUUCCAAUAUGUUUAGGAAGAAUUGAUCAUAAUGGAUCUUGUAAAGAAAUAUUUCUUGUAAAUUUCAUGUGUAUAAAAGCAACAUGUAACUGUUGAAUCAUAAGGAGUCUAACAAAAAUAUAAUUACAUAUCUAAUGCAAGUUUCUCUAUUUGAA